This 75-nucleotide transfer RNA is filed under the name Candidatus Roizmanbacteria bacterium CG02_land_8_20_14_3_00_36_15. RNAcentral's name for it is "tRNA-Gly". It matches the Rfam family "tRNA". From Rfam's summary of the family: Transfer RNA (tRNA) molecules are approximately 80 nucleotides in length. Lineage: Bacteria; Candidatus Roizmaniibacteriota. The record is from RNAcentral.
GCGGCAGUAGUUCAGUGGUAGAAUGUCUCCUUCCCAAGGAGAAGGUCGCCGGUUCAAAUCCGGUCUGCCGCUCAA